Molecule: non-coding RNA, 342 nt
Organism: Callorhinus ursinus (northern fur seal)
Lineage: Eukaryota; Metazoa; Chordata; Mammalia; Carnivora; Otariidae
Source: RefSeq, a predicted model, not a curated record
UUUCCCAACAACUUUCAGAGGGACAAGGGCCUAGAGGAUGACAGAGGGGCCACAAAUGCUUGUGUAAAUAAAUGAAAUCUCCCCACUGGCUCCCAUAUGGCUGGAGGCAGAAAGUGGGAAAUCUCCUAAGAAGGGCUAACAGUGGUUGUCCUCCACGACAGGGAUUCAAGGCCUUCCACAGAACCUAGGUUUAGAGUCACAAGAGGCCUUCCUAGACAGGAGGCAACUAGUCCUAUGUCACCAAGCAAGUCAGUGGAAAAAUCAGGGACUGAAACCUAGGUUUCCUAUCUUCCUUGUUUCUCAAAGCAAUAGCUGUGGACUAGAGGCAUUAGCAUCACCUGG